Triticum aestivum (bread wheat) is the source of this 1921-nucleotide long non-coding RNA. RefSeq lists it as uncharacterized. Lineage: Eukaryota; Viridiplantae; Streptophyta; Magnoliopsida; Poales; Poaceae. The transcript has 4 exons. The record is from RefSeq and is a predicted model, not a curated record.
UUUCGUUAUGGACCAGCCCAAAUCCCCCUGAAGCGGCUAUCCCAAAUCUCUGUCAGCUCCUCGCCGCCGCAAAUUGGUGACACCGCCGCUAUCCCUCACCUGGUAAUGGUGCUCCUGCAGCCUCCCUCGCCGCCCUCCGCUCGCCGCUAGUCCCACUCCCCAAUCCCUCACACCUCUCCCACCACGAAAACGACUCGCCGCCGCGGCUACUCCCGUCCGAAUCCGGCCUCCUCCACUGCAUCCUCCCCACCAAGGACGGUGUGCCCAGUCUCCCCGUCCACGCUCGCCGCUGCAUCCGGCGAUGCUGACUGCGACCGCUGCGUCCGGCGACGCUGACUGCGAACGCCAUCAAGGAAGCAUUGUUGGCAAUGGAUACAGCUGGGCGUUUCAGUGAUUUGUUAUGGAUGCCUCACAACCAGCACAAAAUAUCAAAAGCUUGGGAAAAUCCUGACAAUUGCUUGAAUGUGCGGUGUCAUCGUGUUGGCAUCCCAUUUGAUCCUUUGUGUAGCUCAGCUUUAGAGAACCUGGGUUUUUACCAGAUUGCAAUGAUGAAGAAAAUCAAUGUCAACAAAUAUUUGAUAUCGGCAUUGGUCGAGCGUUGGCGGCCUUGAGACAAAUAGUUUUCACUUACCUGUAGGUGAAAUGACAGCUACGCUGCAAGACAUGAGUUGUUUGUGGGGUUGCCUAUCCGUGGUAAACCACUUUAUUGGCAAAGCUGAUGCAUCAUGGUCUGAGUUAAUUGAGAGGUCACUUGGGAUUCCCGUAGAUGAACAACACAUGAAGCAAAAGAAAAGGAGAAAAUGCGAUGACACCAUUACUGUGAAGAAUUCACAAUACUCUUUAAAUCUGGAUAAACUCCAUGAACGCUUUCAUGUGCUGCCAGAUAAUCCAUUGGACUGAGAGAUUAAUUGGCAUGCUCGAGCAAUUGUUCUAAAAAUACUUGAUGAUGCUGAUUGGUGAUUUGCUAGAGUGCCACUAAUGCAUUUUUGGAUUGUAGAGUUUCACUAUCCAGACAGGGUGAUGCGACAAUUUGGGUUAAGACAGACAAUUCCACCAUGUCAUCCACGUGACGAGGUAGAGGUACGCAAAUUGCGAAAAAUUAAGCAUUCUGCAAGGAAAUCACAUAAUUGGGAAGAAAUCCAUGCCAACUAUGUUGAAGAAUAUAACCGAGUUCAAGCAACAGUAGUGCUAGAGGAUAUUUCCUUCGAUCUAGCUACUUUACUUGACUACAGACAUUGGUUCCAACAAAACGGUAUGUACACGGUUUUCUUUGAUUCCCAAUGCUUAGGAGGACUCGAUAAACCUAUCCCAUAUCCUCGAGAUAGCAUCGAAUGGACUGGCUACAUGCCUAGCGGUCCGCCACUGGCUCGCAUUGGCUUACGUGAGAUAAAGAAUGUUGCAUGGGGAAUCAAAUGUGCUACAACUCGUGGUUGCAAGAAGAAAGGAAAAUAUGUACUGAGGUCCUGUGUAGAAAAUUUGAUGGAUCUCAACUUUGAGCCUAGGCUGCAAAGCAUGCUUGCUGAGGCUAGGUUACCUCUGAACAUCGAAGAUAUUUCAUCUGAUGAUGAGGUUUCAGAUAUUGCUCACCCACCAAGCCCUCCAAAACAGAGCAACUGUGAUGUAUUUAAUGAUUGGAUAUACUCAUGGAGAGGUUUCACAACAUACCUUAUGGGUGGGGAUGCAAUGGAAGAUGGAGGAACGACAACAGAAGAUGUGGGUCCGUUGGCAUCGUAUCAUGUUUCCAGAUAUCAAUCAAGGAGUUCACUUCGAUUAAUAAUCCGAAUGGGACAACAUAGUGCAGCCUUUUUUUCAUUUCUUUCUCUAUGGCAUACCAGGUUGUAAACGUUGCAGGCUAUGUUAUAUGAACUGGGAAGUGGAAGUCCUCAUAUAAUGCAAUCCAGGAUUUAAUCUUAAGUUUACU